Molecule: ribosomal RNA, 426 nt
Filed under: uncultured Candidatus Udaeobacter sp.
Lineage: Bacteria; Pseudomonadati; Verrucomicrobiota; Spartobacteria; Chthoniobacterales; Chthoniobacteraceae
Description: bacterial SSU rRNA
Rfam family: Bacterial small subunit ribosomal RNA
Source: RNAcentral
UCGAGAAUUUUUCUCAAUGGGGGCAACCCUGAAGGAGCGACGCCGCGUGGAGGAUGAAGGCUUUCGGGUUGUAAACUCCUGUCAUUUGAGAACAAGGCUUAUUAGUUAACUGCUAGUAAGUUGAUAGUAUCAGAAGAGGAAGGGACGGCUAACUCUGUGCCAGCAGCCGCGGUAAUACAGAGGUCCCAAGCGUUGUUCGGAUUCAUUGGGCGUAAAGGGUGCGUAGGUGGCGUCGUAAGUCAGAUGUGAAAUCUCGGGGCUUAACUCCGAAACUGCAUUUGAUACUGCGGUGCUUGAGGACUGGAGAGGAGACUGGAAUUUACGGUGUAGCAGUGAAAUGCGUAGAGAUCGUAAGGAAGACCAGUGGCGAAGGCGGGUCUCUGGACAGUUCCUGACACUGAGGCACGAAGGCCAGGGGAGCAAACG